This is a non-coding RNA of Dermatophagoides farinae (American house dust mite), 1343 nucleotides long. The record is from RefSeq and is a predicted model, not a curated record. NCBI's taxonomy places the organism in Eukaryota, Metazoa, Arthropoda, Arachnida, Sarcoptiformes, Pyroglyphidae.
CUCCAAAAAUGAGUGCUAAAAAAAUUUCGAUUGUUUUUCGAUUGUUAGUUGAAAACUUUAAAAACUUUAAAAUUUCUACAAGUCCAACUAAUGAGCAACUGCGCAUAGUCAUAUAGAGAUAGUGCAGCUAACUAUUUUCAAUACAAAUGUUGUGCCCUUCUAUUCCCCAUACGAAUUUGAAUUAUUUUUUUGAUGACUUGCAUUUUUUUCUAUUUUAAUCGUGAAAAUUUUUGCACUAAAUUUUGGAACAAAGAAUUUAAUCAAUUCAAGAUUAUCGUUGUUCAAAGUUAUUGUGGUCUAGAAAAUUGGCCUCAAAAUCAAUGAAGAUCGUUUAGUUCGGUCAUCAUGUAAUAAUGAUACAAGUUGGCGAAAAAAUUCCAUUUUCGAUGACUUUCAAAUGUAUUUAUCACAUUUUGUUUUUCAUCAAAUUGUAUUCAAUCACAUCCUUUUUAAGUUUUCUUUUUCAGAGUCCAUUAUACUUGAUAAUUGGAAUUCGGAUUAAUAUAUAAAAACAUGGUCAAUAAGCAUAAAAUUUUCAUUGAUGAUCAAUGAUCAUUAGACAUAUAAUUGGUGUCGUCUUUAGAAAAACGAUCAUGGUAAUGAUGCCGAACAGUACAAAUUUAUUGGCGGAUAUCUGGUCACUAACAUGGUACGAUGUCCAAUGAAACAUGUUCAGCAUCAGGUAACUUUGGAAUUUCGCUACCAAUCAAUAAUUCUAACACUUACAUUUCUCAAAAGUCUAUUCAGAACAUGCCUGCUUUUGGUUGAAUUGUCGGAACAACUUAUUUAGUAAGUCGACAUAUUCAUUUUUCAUAUCUGAUAAAGAUUCGUCUAUUUUUUCUUAUUAGAUUCGCUAAAAUUUUACGAUCAACAAGUUGAAAUUCGACUUAUGAUUAUGUUCAAGAUCAAUUCGGCGUUUCCAUUGUUCAUCAGCAUCCAAUUCAAGAAUAGUUUGGCAAUGUUCAACACUUGAUAAUAGGUUAGGCUAGGGUUAGAUUAGGCUUAGGAACAUGAUCUGAGCUAUUUCCUAUUGAAUUCGAUGCUGAUUGAAACUUUGGAAUCAAUGAAGCGAUUGACAAUUACGAUUAAUAGUCGAAGAUUCACGAACUGGAACAUACACUCGAAACUGAUAAUGGAUCACCGGUGAACAAUUUGGAAAUUGAAUCUCGAAUCAUGGAUUGAAUUUGGUCAUUGACUUGGAACUUGGACCGCGAAUUACGGAUUUAUUUCAAACGAGGCAAUUAACGUUGAAUGGCGUAAUUGGGGUGUGAAAUAUGAAUGCAUUUUAUUAUUUCAAAUAUUUUAAUCAAUUAAUAUAACAAUAAAAUCAUUUAUCAUUUGAA